GACGAACGCUGGCGGCGUGCUUAACACAUGCCAGUCGAACGGAAAGGCCCUGCUUUUGUGGGGUGCUCGAGUGGCGAACGGGUGAGUAACACGUGAGUAACCUGCCCUUGACUUUGGGAUAACUUCAGGAAACUGGGGCUAAUACCGGAUAGGAGCUCCUGCUGCAUGGUGGGGGUUGGAAAGUUUCGGCGGUUGGGGAUGGACUCGCGGCUUAUCAGCUUGUUGGUGGGGUAGUGGCUUACCAAGGCUUUGACGGGUAGCCGGCCUGAGAGGGUGACCGGCCACAUUGGGACUGAGAUACGGCCCAGACUCCUACGGGAGGCAGCAGUGGGGAAUAUUGCACAAUGGGCGGAAGCCUGAUGCAGCAACGCCGCGUGCGGGAUGACGGCCUUCGGGUUGUAAACCGCUUUCGCCUGUGACGAAGCGUGAGUGACGGUAAUGGGUAAAGAAACACCGGCUAACUACGUG
This 468-nucleotide ribosomal RNA is filed under the name uncultured bacterium. RNAcentral describes it as "partial 16S ribosomal RNA". It matches the Rfam family "Bacterial small subunit ribosomal RNA", at positions 28 to 507 of the family's 1533-position model. The record is from RNAcentral.